Molecule: ribosomal RNA, 490 nt
Filed under: uncultured bacterium
Lineage: Bacteria
Description: partial 16S ribosomal RNA
Rfam family: Bacterial small subunit ribosomal RNA
Source: RNAcentral
AUUGAACGCUGGCGGCAUGCCUUACACAUGCAAGUCGAACGAGUGUAGCAAUACACAAGUGGCGAACGGGUGAGUAAUGCAUCGGAACGUAUCCUAUUGUGGGGGAUAACGUAGCGAAAGUUACGCUAAUACCGCAUAAGACCCGAGGGUGAAAGCGGGGGAUCUUCGGACCUCGCGCGAUAGGAGCGGCCGAUGUCGGAUUAGCUAGUAGGUGGGGUAAAGGCUUACCUAGGCGACGAUCCGUAGCGGGUCUGUGAGGAUGAUCCGCCACACUGGGACUGAGACACGGCCCAGACUCCUACGGGAGGCAGCAGUGGGGAAUUUUGGACAAUGGGCGCAAGCCUGAUCCAGCCAUGCCGCGUGAGUGAAGAAGGCCUUCGGGUUGUAAAGCUCUUUCGGACGGAAAGAAAUUGCUUCGGAUAAUACCUGGAGUAGAUGACGGUACCGUAAGAAGAAGCACCGGCUAACUACGUGCCAGCAGCCGCUGUAA